Molecule: unclassified non-coding RNA, 238 nt
Filed under: air metagenome
Description: partial contains small subunit ribosomal RNA, internal transcribed spacer 1, and 5.8S ribosomal RNA
Rfam family: Eukaryotic small subunit ribosomal RNA (bases 1-46)
Source: RNAcentral
AAGUCGUAACAAGGUCUCCGUUGGUGAACCAGCGGAGGGAUCAUUACAGAGUUACUUUUAAAACUCCUAAACCCGUGUGAACUUACCUCCUGUUGCCUCGGCGUGACUUACCCUGCACCUACCCGGUAGGUACCCGGUAAGCCGCCAGGGGACCAUACCAAACUCUUUAUUUUAGUAUCCAUCUCUGAAUCAACAACUAAAUAAGUUAAAACUUUCAACAACGGAUCUCUUGGUUCUG